ACUCAAUCCCAACUGAAGCUCCACAUUGCGAAAAUUGCUCUGCAUUUCCUUGUACUCACAAUCUAUCAUAAACCUUUUUGCGUGUAGUGUAAAUUUAGCAUGGCAAAAUCAGCCUUCUCUAGGCCCAUGCCUGUCACGGUGAUGACACUUCUUGUUGCAACUUUGUUGCUCAUGUCUUCUGAGGUGGCAAAUGCUACGCUAAAUUACGAUGGAGCUGCAGCACUUACACUUGGACGAAGGGCUCUCCUAGCUGAAACCACCGGUCGAGGAGGCUACAACGAGAAUCCUAAUGGUCGAGGAGGCUACAACGAGAAUCCUAAUGGCCGUGGAGGCUAUAAUGAGGAUCCAACUGGUCGUGGAGGAUAUAAUUAACUAGUAAAUGAUAAUUUCAAAGGUCUAUCUACUGUAACAAUAUAUAAGUUUGGUGCUUGAAUAAAAGAUGCCCUCCAGCCAAGGAUAUGUUGUAAUAAUUUCCAAGGACAUGAUUUACAUAUCAAGGUUGUAGGAUGGAAUGUUUUUAUUAUAUAUUUGAAGUCUGUACGUGUCAUAUAAAGUGAGAUUAAUUUUCUUAAGUCACAAACUUUAUUUAUUGGCA
Populus trichocarpa (black cottonwood) is the source of this 595-nucleotide long non-coding RNA. RefSeq lists it as uncharacterized. Lineage: Eukaryota; Viridiplantae; Streptophyta; Magnoliopsida; Malpighiales; Salicaceae. The transcript is spliced from 2 exons. The record is from RefSeq and is a predicted model, not a curated record.